RNAcentral lists this ribosomal RNA (512 nucleotides) under uncultured bacterium. RNAcentral's name for it is "partial 16S ribosomal RNA". It matches the Rfam family "Bacterial small subunit ribosomal RNA", at positions 355 to 882 of the family's 1533-position model. The record is from RNAcentral.
UGGGGAAUAUUGCACAAUGGGCGAAAGCCUGAUGCAGCAACGCCGCGUGAGUGAUGAAGGUCUUCGGAUUGUAAAGCUCUGUCUUUUGGGACGAUAAUGACGGUACCAAAGGAGGAAGCCACGGCUAACUACGUGCCAGCAGCCGCGGUAAUACGUAGGUGGCGAGCGUUGUCCGGAUUUACUGGGCGUAAAGGGUGCGUAGGCGGAUGUUUAAGUGAGAUGUGAAAUACCCGGGCUUAACUUGGGUGCUGCAUUUCAAACUGGAUAUCUAGAGUGCAGGAGAGGAGAAUGGAAUUCCUAGUGUAGCGGUGAAAUGCGUAGAGAUUAGGAAGAACACCAGUGGCGAAGGCGAUUCUCUGGACUGUAACUGACGCUGAGGCACGAAAGCGUGGGUAGCAAACAGGAUUAGAUACCCUGGUAGUCCACGCCGUAAACGAUGAGUACUAGGUGUAGGAGGUAUCGACCCCUUCUGUGCCGCAGUAAACACAUUAAGUACUCCGCCUGGGGAAGUA